AAUCAACGCUGGCGGCGUGCCUCAGACAUGCAAGUCGAACGAUUAAACUUUCCUUCGGGAAAGAUAUAAAGUGGCGCACGGGUGAGUAACACGUAAGUAAUCUACCUUCGGAUGGGGAAUAACAGUCGGAAACGACUGCUAAUACCGCAUAAUGCAGCGGCACCUAAUGGUGACAGUUUGUUAAAGUAUUUAUACGUCUGGAGAGGAGCUUGCGGCAGA
RNAcentral lists this ribosomal RNA (219 nucleotides) under uncultured bacterium. RNAcentral describes it as "partial 16S ribosomal RNA". It matches the Rfam family "Bacterial small subunit ribosomal RNA", at positions 32 to 240 of the family's 1533-position model. The record is from RNAcentral.